CCUACGGGAGGCUGCAGUCGAGAAUCAUUCACAAUGGGGGAAACCCUGAUGGUGCGACGCCGCGUGGGGGAAUGAAGGUCUUCGGAUUGUAAACCCCUGUCAUGUGGGAGCAAAUUAAAAAGAUAGUACCACAAGAGGAAGAGACGGCUAACUAUGUGACAGCAGUCGCGGUAAUACAGAGGACUCAAGCGUUGAUCGGAAUUACUGGUCGUAAAGCGUGCGUAGGCGGGUGCGGAAGUCGUGUGUGAAAGGCGCGGGCUCAACCCGCGGACGGCAGAUGAUACUGCGAGACUAGAGUAAUGGAGGGGGAACCGGAAUUCUCGGUGUAGCAGUGAAAUGCGUAGAUAUCGAGAGGAACACUCGUGGCGAAGGCGGGUUCCUGGACAUUAACUGACGCUGAGGCACGAAGGCCAGGGGAGCGAAAGGGAUUAGAUACCCCAGUAGUC
Molecule: ribosomal RNA, 446 nt
Filed under: uncultured bacterium
Lineage: Bacteria
Description: partial 16S ribosomal RNA
Rfam family: Bacterial small subunit ribosomal RNA
Source: RNAcentral